AACCAACAGGGAUUGCCUCAGUAACGGCGAGUGAAGCGGCAAAAGCUCAAAUUUGAAAUCCGGUACCUUUGGUGCCCGAGUUGUAAUUUGAAGAUGGCAACUUUGGGGGCGGCCUUUAUCUAUGUUCCUUGGAACAGGACGUCACAGAGGGUGAGAAUCCCGUCUGAUGAGGUGACCCGCUCCUUUGUAAAGUGCUUUCGACGAGUCGAGUUGUUUGGGAAUGCAGCUCUAAGUGGGUGGUAAAUUCCAUCUAAAGCUAAAUAUUGGCGAGAGACCGAUAGCGAACAAGUACAGUGAUGGAAAGAUGAAAAGAACUUUGAAAAGAGAGUGAAAAAGUACGUGAAAUUGUUGAAAGGGAAGGGUAUUAGAUCAGACUUGGCGGUGUUCGAUUAUCUUCCCCUUGUGGGUUGUGCACUCGAGCGCUGCUGGGCCAGCAUCGAUUUGUGCGGCGGGAUAAGAGUUCUGGGAACGUGGCAUCCUCUUCGGGGGGUGUGUUAUAGCCCGGGGCCCAUACCGCCUGUGUAGAUCGAGGACUGCGUCUUUAUGACUAGGAUGCUGGCGUAAUGAUCUAAUAUCGC
RNAcentral lists this ribosomal RNA (578 nucleotides) under Wickerhamomyces bisporus. Its description in RNAcentral is "eukaryotic LSU rRNA". It matches the Rfam family "Eukaryotic large subunit ribosomal RNA", at positions 63 to 648 of the family's 3401-position model. The record is from RNAcentral. Lineage: Eukaryota; Fungi; Ascomycota; Saccharomycetes; Phaffomycetales; Wickerhamomycetaceae.